AACUUUUGAGAACGGAUCUCUUGGUUCCGGCAUCGAUGAAGAACGCAGCGAAAUGCGAUACGUAAUGUGAAUUGCAGAAUUCAGUGAAUCAUCGAGUCUUUGAACGCACAUUGCGCCCUCUGGUAUUCCGGAGGGCAUGCCUGUCCGAGCGUCAUUGCUGCCCUCAAGCACGGCUUGUGUGUUGGGCUCCGUCCUCCUUCCGGGGGACGGGCCCGAAAGGCAGCGGCGGCACCGCGGCCGGUCCUCAAGCGUAUGGGGCUUUGUCACCCGCUUUGUAGGACUGGCCGGCGCCUGCCGAUCAACCAAACUUUUUUCCAGGUUGACCUCGGAUCAGGUAGGGAUACCCGCUGAACUUAAGCAUAUCAAUAAGCGGAGGCU
RNAcentral lists this unclassified non-coding RNA (378 nucleotides) under uncultured Penicillium. Its description in RNAcentral is "sequence contains ITS2". The stretch from base 1 to 154 matches the Rfam family "5.8S ribosomal RNA". The record is from RNAcentral. Lineage: Eukaryota; Fungi; Ascomycota; Eurotiomycetes; Eurotiales; Aspergillaceae.